RNAcentral lists this ribosomal RNA (468 nucleotides) under uncultured bacterium. RNAcentral describes it as "partial 16S ribosomal RNA". It matches the Rfam family "Bacterial small subunit ribosomal RNA", at positions 28 to 507 of the family's 1533-position model. The record is from RNAcentral.
GACGAACGCUGGCGGCGUGCUUAACACAUGCAAGUCGAACGGAAAGGCCCUGCUUUUGUGGGGUGCUCGAGUGGCGAACGGGUGAGUAACACGUGAGUAACCUGCCCUUGACUUUGGGAUAACUUCAGGAAACUGGGGCUAAUACCGGAUAGGAGCUCCUGCUGCAUGGUGGGGGUUGGAAAGUUUCGGCGGUUGGGGAUGGACUCGCGGCUUAUCAGCUUGUUGGUGGGGUAGUGGCUUACCAAGGCUUUGACGGGUAGCCGGCCUGGGAGGGUGACCGGCCACAAUGGGACUGAGAGACGGCCCAGACGCCUACCGGAGGCAACAGUGGGGAAUAUUGCACAAUGGGCGGAAGCCUGAUGCAGCAACGCCGCGUGCGGGAUGACGGCCUUCGGGUUGUAAACCGCUUUCGCCUGUGACGAAGCGUGAGUGACGGUAAUGGGUAAAGAAGCACCGGCUAACUACGUG